Molecule: ribosomal RNA, 386 nt
Filed under: uncultured bacterium
Lineage: Bacteria
Description: partial 16S ribosomal RNA
Rfam family: Bacterial small subunit ribosomal RNA
Source: RNAcentral
CCUACGGGUGGCAACAGUAGGGAAUCUUCCACAAUGGGCGCAAGCCUGAUGGAGCAACACCGCGUGAGUGAAGAAGGGUUUCGGCUCGUAAAGCUCUGUUGUUGGAGAAGAACGUGCGUGAGAGUAACUGUUCACGCAGUGACGGUAUCCAACCAGAAAGUCACGGCUAACUACGUGCCAGCAGCCGCGGUAAUACGUAGGUGGCAAGCGUUAUCCGGAUUUAUUGGGCGUAAAGCGAGCGCAGGCGGUUGCUUAGGUCUGAUGUGAAAGCCUUCGGCUUAACCGAAGAAGUGCAUCGGAAACCGGGCGACUUGAGUGCAGACGAGGACCGUGGACCUCCAUGUGUCGCGGUGCACUGCGUCGCUCUAUGGACGACCCCCAGUGGC